CCUACGGGAGGCAGCAGUGGGGAAUAUUGGGCAAUGGAGGAAACUCUGACCCAGCAAUGCCGCGUGAAUGAAGAAGGUCUUCGGUAUGUAAAGCUCUAUCAGCAGGGAAGAAACCCACCCUCCGGGGUGGCUGACGGUACCUGACUAAGAAGCCCCGGCUAACUACGUGCCAGCAGCCGCGGUAAUACGUAGGGGGCAAGCGUUAUCCGGCUUUACUGGGGGUAAAGGGAGCGUAGGUGGCAAGGCAAGACAGAUGUGAAAACCCGGGGCCCAACCCCGGGAGUGCAUUUGAAACUGUCUGGCUAGAGUGCAGGAGAGGUAAGUGGAAUUCGUGGUGUAGCGGUGAAAUGCAUAGAUAUGAGGAAGAACACCAGUGGCGAAGGCGGCUUACUGGACUGUAACUGACGCUGAGGCUCGAAAGCGUGGGGAGCGAACAGGAUUAGAUACCCUUGUAGUC
This 457-nucleotide ribosomal RNA is filed under the name uncultured bacterium. Its description in RNAcentral is "partial 16S ribosomal RNA". It matches the Rfam family "Bacterial small subunit ribosomal RNA", at positions 338 to 795 of the family's 1533-position model. The record is from RNAcentral.